This 147-nucleotide ribosomal RNA is filed under the name Botrytis cinerea. RNAcentral's name for it is "ribosomal internal transcribed spacer 1". Lineage: Eukaryota; Fungi; Ascomycota; Leotiomycetes; Helotiales; Sclerotiniaceae. The record is from RNAcentral.
CAGAGUUCAUGCCCGAAAGGGUAGACCUCCCACCCUUGUGUAUUAUUACUUUGUUGCUUUGGCGAGCUGCCUUCGGGCCUUGUAUGCUCGCCAGAGAAUACCAAAACUCUUUUUAUUAAUGUCGUCUGAGUACUAUAUAAUAGUUAA